UGAGUACGAGAUGCUACGGCAUCGAAUCAGUCUAUGUUAUACUUCCAAGAAAAGCUUGCAAUGUCAUAAACAAAUAAUGCCUGUACCAUAACCGACACAGGUGGGUAGGUAGAGUAUACUAAGGGGCGCGAGAUAACUCUCUCUAAGGAACUCGGCAAAAUGACUCCGUAACUUCGGGAGAAGGAGUGCCUUAUUUUUAUAAGGUUGCAAUAACAAGAUCCAAGCAACUGUUUACCAAAAACACAGGUCUCCGCUAAGUCGUAAGACGAUGUAUGGGGGCUGACGCCUGCCCAGUGCCAGAAGGUUAAAGAAGUUGGUUAGCAUUAGCGAAGCUGAUAACUGAAGCCCUGGUGAACGGCGGCCGUAACGAUAACGGUCCUAAGGUAGCGAAAUUCCUUGUCGGGUAAGUUCCGACCCGCACGAAAGGCGUAAUGAUUUGGAUACUGUCUCGGAGAGGGGCUCGGUGAAAUAGACUUGUCUGUGAAGAUGCGGACUACCUGCACCUGGACAGAAAGACCCUAUGAAGCUUUACUGUAACUUGAGAUUGAAAUUGGACUUUAUCUGCGCAGUAUAGGUGGGAGACGUUGAAAAUAUUCUUGCGGGAAUAUUGGAGUCAUCAGUGAGAUACCACUCUUAUAAUGUUAGAUUUCUAACUUUGUAUCAUUAUCUGGUCAAAGAACAGUUUCAGGCGGGCAGUUUGACUGGGGCGGUCGCCUCCCAAACGGUAACGGAGGCGCACAAAGGUUUCCUCUGAACGUGUAGAAAUCGUAUCUAGAGUGUAAAGGCAUAAGGAAGCUUGACUGUGAGACCUACAAGUCGAGCAGGGACGAAAGUCGGUCUUAGUGAUCUGACGGUGCUGAGUGGAAAGGCCGUCACUCAACGGAUAAAAGUUACUCUAAGGAUAACAGGCUGAUCUCCCCCAAGAGUUCACAUCGACGGGGAGGUUUGGCACCUCGAUGUCGGCUCAUCGCAUCCUGGGGCGGUAGUACGUCCCAAGGGUUGGGCUGUUCGCCCAUGAAAGCGGUACGCGAGCUGGGUUCAGAACGUCGUGAGACAGUUCGGUCCAUAUCCGGUGUAGGCGUUAGAAUAUUGAGAGGAGCCUUCUUUAGUACGAGAGGACCGAGAAGGACAUACCUCUGGUGUACCAGUUAUCGUGCCAACGGUAAACGCUGGGUAGCCAUGUAUGGAGAGGAUAACCGCUGAAAGCAUCUAAGUGGGAAGCCCACCUCAAGAUAAGUAUUCUC
This 1244-nucleotide ribosomal RNA is filed under the name metagenome. RNAcentral's name for it is "bacterial LSU rRNA". It matches the Rfam family "Bacterial large subunit ribosomal RNA", at positions 1564 to 2815 of the family's 2925-position model. The record is from RNAcentral.